GCCUUCGCGGUGUAACGGUUAGCACACUCGGCGCGUAUUCGAGAGGUCCAGGUUCGAGUCCCGGCGAGGGCA
Stegodyphus mimosarum is the source of this 72-nucleotide non-coding RNA. The record is from Rfam. NCBI's taxonomy places the organism in Eukaryota, Metazoa, Arthropoda, Arachnida, Araneae, Eresidae.